RNAcentral lists this non-coding RNA (20 nucleotides) under Arabidopsis thaliana (thale cress). Lineage: Eukaryota; Viridiplantae; Streptophyta; Magnoliopsida; Brassicales; Brassicaceae. The record is from RNAcentral.
UGGUGGGACACUGGUUCGGU